GUACAGUUUGAAAUCUUGAAGUGUGAAGAGUUACUAUUGACAGCGCAACUAGAAAGCAUCAAAAGACUUAUAUCAGAAAAUAAUUUUCAGCACUUUCACUUACUCUAUGUAAUAAGGAAAAAAAUUGUUUCCAGAAAGUUGAACUAUGUAGUAAUAUUUGGUAACACAUGGCAUGGCCACUUUAUAUCACAGAAUGUGUGUCAAGUUGCAAAGCAUACUUGGGCCAUAGUAGACACUAAGAAUUAAAACUCUUAAAUCAGUGAAACAAAAACUAAUGGGCAGCAUUCUCUCUGGAAUGGGAUCAGUAUACAAUUAAUACAAUUUAAUUUUACACAUUCCCUAAGACACCGUUUUUAAGUUACAGUCACAUGAGUGUGUUUGUAUAAAUUUAAGUCAAUGCUUUUAGC
This 407-nucleotide small RNA is filed under the name Pongo abelii (Sumatran orangutan). RNAcentral's name for it is "processed transcript". The record is from RNAcentral. Lineage: Eukaryota; Metazoa; Chordata; Mammalia; Primates; Hominidae.